AGGAAGAGAAAGUGUCACAGACACGA
This 26-nucleotide non-coding RNA is filed under the name Homo sapiens (human). Lineage: Eukaryota; Metazoa; Chordata; Mammalia; Primates; Hominidae. The record is from RNAcentral.